This 786-nucleotide ribosomal RNA is filed under the name uncultured bacterium. RNAcentral's name for it is "bacterial SSU rRNA". It matches the Rfam family "Bacterial small subunit ribosomal RNA", at positions 8 to 796 of the family's 1533-position model. The record is from RNAcentral.
AGAGUUUGAUCAUGGCUCAGGACGAACGCUGGCGGCGUGCCUAACACAUGCAAGUCGAACGGGACCGGGGGCAACUCCGGUUCAGUGGCGAACGGGUGCGUAACACGUGAGGAACCUGACCAUCGGCGGGGGAUAGCCGGCCCAACGGCCGGGUAAUACCGCGUACGACCUUCGGGGGGCAUCCCCUGGAGGUGAAAGCAGCAAUGCACCGAUGGAGGGCCUCGCGACCUAUCAGCUAGUUGGUGAGGUAACGGCCCACCAAGGCGAUGACGGGUAGCUGGUCUGAGAGGAUGGCCAGCCACAUUGGGACUGAGAGACGGCCCAGACUCCUACGGGAGGCAGCAGUGGGGAAUCUUGCGCAAUGGCCGCAAGGCUGACGCAGCGACGCCGCGUGGGGGAGGAAGGGCUUCGGCUCGUAAACCCCUGUUGCCCGGGACGAACAACUGGUUUCAGCCAGUCUGACGGUACCGGGUGAGGAAGCACCGGCUAACUCCGUGCCAGCAGCCGCGGUAAUACGGAGGGUGCGAGCGUUGUCCGGAAUCACUGGGCGUAAAGGGCGCGUAGGCGGCUCGGUAAGCGUGCGGUGAAAGCCCGGGGCUCAACCCCGGGUCGGCCGUGCGAACUGUCGAGCUGGAGCACUGUAGAGGCGGGUGGAAUUCCGGGUGUAGCGGUGGAAUGCGUAGAGAUCCGGAAGAACACCGGUGGCGAAGGCGGCCCGCUGGGCAGUGGCUGACGCUGAUGCGCGACAGCGUGGGGAGCAAACAGGAUUAGAUACCCUAGUAGUCC